UGCAGGAGUGAUUGGUGCUGCCUGCUAAUA
RNAcentral lists this non-coding RNA (30 nucleotides) under Rattus norvegicus (Norway rat). Lineage: Eukaryota; Metazoa; Chordata; Mammalia; Rodentia; Muridae. The record is from RNAcentral.